GUCGAGAAUCUUUCACAAUGGGGGCAACCCUGAUGGAGCGACGCCGCGUGGAGGAUAAGGUCUUCGGAUUGUAAACUCCUGUCAUGCGUGAACAAGGUUGCUUGGUUAAUACCUGGGCAAAUUGAUGGUAACGCAAGAGGAAGAGACGGCUAACUCUGUGCCAGCAGCCGCGGUAAUACAGAGGUCUCAAGCGUUGUUCGGAAUCACUGGGCGUAAAGGGUGCGUAGGUGGCGUGGUAAGUCAGAUGUGAAAGCCCGGGGCUCAACCUCGGAACUGCAUCCGAUACUGCCCUGCUAGAGUACUGGAGAGGUGACUAGAAUUCUCGGUGUAGCAGUGAAAUGCGUAGAUAUCGAGAGGAAUACCAAAGGCGUAGGCAGGUCACUGGACAGUUACUGACACUGAGGCACGAAGGCCAGGGGAGCGAACGGGAUUAGAAACCCGUGUAGUCC
This 449-nucleotide ribosomal RNA is filed under the name uncultured bacterium. RNAcentral's name for it is "partial 16S ribosomal RNA". It matches the Rfam family "Bacterial small subunit ribosomal RNA", at positions 354 to 796 of the family's 1533-position model. The record is from RNAcentral.